GACGAACGCUGGCGGCGUGCUUAACACAUGCAAGUCGAACGGAAAGGCCUCUUUCGGGGGGUACUCGAGUGGCGAACGGGUGAGUAACACGUGAGUAACCUGCCCUUGACUUUGGGAUAACUUCAGGAAACUGGGGCUAAUACCGGAUAGGAGCUCCUGCUGCAUGGCGGGGGUUGGAAAGGUUCGGCGGUUGGGGCUGGACUCGCGGCGUAUCAGAGUGUUUGUGGGGUAGUGGCUUACCAAGGCUUUGCCGGGUAGCCGGCCUGAGAGGGUGCACGGCACCAGUGGGACGUGGAGACGGCCCAGACUCCUACGGGAGGCAGCGGCGGGGAAAAGUGCUCUAUGGGUGGAAGCCCGAUGCAGCAACGCCCUGCGCGGGAUGACGGACUUCGGGUUGGAAACCGCGUUCGCGCAUUACGAAGCUCUGUGUGACGGUAGUGGGUAAAGAAGCACCGGCUAACUACGUG
This 467-nucleotide ribosomal RNA is filed under the name uncultured bacterium. RNAcentral describes it as "partial 16S ribosomal RNA". It matches the Rfam family "Bacterial small subunit ribosomal RNA", at positions 28 to 507 of the family's 1533-position model. The record is from RNAcentral.